UGUGUCCAAAAGUGGUCUCAGGCUUCAUGAGGAAGCCAUACAAGCCAUGGCCCCAAAAGCUCACAGUCACUACUUUAUUCUUGAACCAUUCUUGAACUAUUCUUGUCAAGGGUAACAGGAGAGGAUAGACCUUGCUAAGUUUGGUAAAGGCUAGAGACAGUUUUGAAACAGAACAAAAAGCUUUAGCUCUGUAAGAUUUUCUGCCUUUCCUUGUAGAAAGCAGAAAGAGGUUUUAGCUUCUGGCUGGAAAGCAGCCUAUCAGCACUAUAGCUGAGGUUUUCAUUUUGUUCCUGGCUUUGGGAAGGGGAGAAGGACCAGUGAGAAGUUCCAUGUCCCCUGCCCCAGAGGGAUAUUGCUUUGACAAUCUGGAGGCUGAAUUACUAGAAAGGAAAACUACACCAACAAGCUAUGACAGAAGAUUAUAGGAAAAGUUGCAAACUGCUAAUGAGAAAGAAAAAAAAAAAGUCAAUUAUACCACAUAGAGGUGAAGAUCCACUGCAGUGUCUUUUGAAUUAUUUUGGAGAGCAGAAUUUUUGUCAUCCCGAUGGGUUUAAAACUCCUAGAAUGUAGAUUCACUACUUUACCUGCUUA
RNAcentral lists this long non-coding RNA (591 nucleotides) under Cairina moschata (Muscovy duck). RNAcentral's name for it is "domestica (muscovy Duck (domestic type)) lncRNA (ENSCMMG00000009641.1)". Lineage: Eukaryota; Metazoa; Chordata; Aves; Anseriformes; Anatidae. The record is from RNAcentral.